This 404-nucleotide ribosomal RNA is filed under the name uncultured bacterium. RNAcentral describes it as "bacterial SSU rRNA". It matches the Rfam family "Bacterial small subunit ribosomal RNA", at positions 355 to 776 of the family's 1533-position model. The record is from RNAcentral.
UCGGGAAUCGUCGGCAAUGGGCGCAAGCCUGACCGCGCGACGCCGCGUGAAGGAAGAAGGCCUUCGGGUUGUAAACUUCUUUUAUAGGGGAUAAUUAUGAUAGUACCCUUUGAAUAAGGACCUGCUAACUACGUGCCAGCAGCCGCGGUAAUACGUAGGGUCCGAGCGUUAUCCGGAAUUAUUGGGCGUAAAGAGCGUGUAGGUGUUCCUACAAGUUGGUCGUUAAAUCUCAUUGCCCAACAAUGAGACCGCGAGCAAAACUGUAGGAAUUGAGUUAUGCAGGGGCGAGUAGAAUUCUUGGAGUAGGGGUAAUAUCCGUUGAUACCAAGAGGAAUACCAAUGGCGAAGGCAGCUCGCUGGGCAAUAACUGACACUGAGACGCGAAAGCGUGGGGAGCAAACGGG